CUACGGGUUGCAGCAGUAGGGAAUAUUGGACAAUGGGAGAAAGAAUGAGUCAGCAACACCGCGUGCACGGGGCCGGCCUUCGGGUUGUAAAUUUCUUUUCGCGGAGAGGAGAAAGGACAGUAUCCUCUGAAUAAGCCUCGGCGAACUACGUGCCAGCAGCCGCGGUAAAACGUAGGAGGCAAGCGUUAUCCGGAUUUAUUGGGCGUAAAGCGCGUGCAGGCGGUCUAGCAAGUUGGAUGUGAAAGCUCCCGGCUCAACUGGGAGAGGUCGUUCAAUACUGUUAGACUAGAGAAUAGGAGAGGGAGGUGGAAUUCCGGGUGUAGUGGUGAAAUGCGUAGAUAUCCGGAGGAACACCAGUGGCGAAAGCGGCCUCCUGGACUAUUUCUGACGCUAAGACGCGAAAGCUAGGGUAGCAAACGGGAUUAGAUACCCCGGUAGUC
This 440-nucleotide ribosomal RNA is filed under the name uncultured bacterium. RNAcentral describes it as "partial 16S ribosomal RNA". It matches the Rfam family "Bacterial small subunit ribosomal RNA", at positions 339 to 795 of the family's 1533-position model. The record is from RNAcentral.